CUCCCGGCCGGCGGCGGCGCGUCCCCGGGCUGUGAAUGCGCCUCGGCCUCGCCCGCGCUCCCCGCCCGCCCCCCGGGACGAGGUAGGGGACGCCCCGCUCCGCGGCGAUGGCAGUGGGCGCGCGCUCCAGCUCCGUCCUCGUCGCCUGCUGCCUGGUGGUGGCUCUGUGCAGCCCGAGCACCCCGCUGGAGAAGCUGGCCCAGGCGCCCGAGCGGCCCGGCCAGGAGAAGCGCGAGCACGCGUCCCGGGACGGCCCGGGGCGGGUGAGCGAGCUGGGGCGCGCCGCGAGGGACGAGGGCGGCGGCGCCCGGGACUGGAAGGGCAGGGGCGGCCGCGGGCCCGGCGGCCGGGAGGCGUGGAGCAAGCAGAAGCAGGCCUGGGCGGCCCAGGGCGGGGGCGCCAAGGCCGGGGACUGGCAGGGGCGACCCCGCGGCGACACACCGCAGGCGGAGCCCCCGGCCGCCGCCGCCCAGGACGCGCUCGGCCUGGACCUGGCGCCCACGCCGGAGCUCCCCGAGGAGUACGCGUACCCGGACUACCGCGGCAAGGGCUGCGUGGACGAGAGCGGCUUCGUGUACGCGAUCGGCGAGAAGUUCGCGCCCGGCCCCUCGGCCUGCCCGUGCCUGUGCACCGAGGAGGGGCCGCUGUGCGCGCAGCCCGAGUGUCCGCGGCUCCACCCGCGCUGCAUCCACGUCGACACCAGCCAGUGCUGCCCGCAGUGCAAAGAGAGGAAGAACUACUGCGAGUUCCGGGGCCAGACCUACCAGACUUUGGAGGAGUUUGUGGUGUCCCCCUGUGAGCGGUGUCGCUGCGAGGCCAACGGGGAGGUGCUAUGCACGGUGUCGGCGUGUCCCCAGACGGAGUGUGUGGACCCUGUGUAUGAGCCCGACCAGUGCUGCCCCAUCUGCAAAAACGGUCCCAACUGCUUUGCAGAAACGGCUGUCAUCCCGGCUGGCAGGGAAGUGAAGACGGAUGAGUGCACCAUCUGCCACUGCACCUACGAGGAGGGCACGUGGCGGAUCGAGCGGCAGGCCAUGUGCACCCGGCACGAGUGCCAGCAGAUGUAGGCCGGCCCGCCCAGCCUCAAACUCUCACUUUUCUAGACCACUUGACUAACUGAGCGUUCUGGACCACUCUGGGAAACAUCCCCCCAAAGGAGAAGAUUUUGAUAAGGAAUCAUGGAAAAUGGUUGGUACUUUUGCUUUUCUCGGUAACAGUUAUUGUGAGAGAAGGCAAUGGAUGUGUUUCAAAACGUCCACCAGGACUCUGGGCGGAACAAUCCCUCUCUAAAUAAAUGUGCUAUUUUCACAGUAUGAUACUUCACCGGGUACCAUACGAUAUCAAUCCAGAGUUUGCUGUUUCCAUUUUUAACAGACUGUCGGAGGGGAAACAUAGAGAAGACUGCACCUGUGGCAUUUACGAAUCAGACAGUUUUCUAUAGACUGAGAGCAAGGAUCUAUUUCUGUGAGUUCACCGGUGAAAGUGAGUUUUCCAGCAAGUGUCCGCGUCCUGUGUGAGCUGACCAGUUGGCAUCGAGGUCAUCGCCACUAUGUGUUCAUAAACACAUUGCUAGCCGCCUUCUUCCCGUGUAUCUGCUAGACAGAGAUACCAGGGGCAAUUCGGGAGACGACAGAAGAAGGCAGGAAACUUCCAAAGCCAAGGCUCCUGACACUCUGGGCUCGGGAAGGAGGGCAGGCUCAGAGCCCCAGCCUUGGCCCAACACCACCUCUGGCAGCUCACACUCCAGAAGCAAGUACAGCACAAACAGGCUGCAGCCUCCUUGAUUUUUUUUUUUUUUUUUUUUGGUACCAGGGAUCGAACUCGGGACCUUGUGCUUUUGAGGCAGGCGACAGCACCACUGAGCUAAUCCUGGCCCCCUCCUUGAUUUACUGUAACUUGGCAGUGGAGUCGCUGGCCCAGGAGGCCUGGAUCCCACCCUGGCCCACUGCUCACUGGGUUUGUCAGCCGCAGCUUUCCUGCCUCUGCAGCCCAGGCCGCUCGCCAGCCAAUCAGGCCCAAAUGGCUGAAUAUUUGAAAAUGCAGAAUAGGAUGGUUCGUAUUUACAAAGCACAAGCUCUGUACAACAGUGUUUAUUACCAAAUACAUGGGAACUAUGAGACUGGAGAUUAAAACAUUUUAAAGAUUCUAAUUAAAAGUCAACGAUUUACUUUAGGUCUCAUUUUUAUAAUCUAGUCUUUUCAUGUUUAAAAUAUAUGAUUUACAUACUGUCUUAGUUUUUAUCCUACUUGUAUGUUAAUAUGUGCCAGAAAAAUGCUUUUGUAAUUCCUUAAUUCUAUGUGGAGCUGAAUUUAUAUAAUCAGGCCCAAUUUGUAUGUGUUGUUGGAUGGAUAUGUGUGUUGGACUGAUUUACAAAAUAAAAUAUUUAUUAAACUGCGUUUUGCACUUCAGGUAGAGUGACAUUUAAGAGAAUCUUUUGAAAUAUUUUAGCCUUUUAA
Heterocephalus glaber (naked mole-rat) is the source of this 2456-nucleotide RNA transcript. It is a transcript of the gene named von Willebrand factor C domain containing 2, with no coding region annotated. The record is from RefSeq and is a predicted model, not a curated record. Lineage: Eukaryota; Metazoa; Chordata; Mammalia; Rodentia; Bathyergidae.